CAGCAGCCGCGGUAAUACGUAGGGUGCGAGCGUUAAUCGGAAUUACUGGGCGUAAAGCGUGCGCAGGCGGUUCGUUAAGACAGAUGUGAAAUCCCCGAGCUUAACCUGGGAACUGCAUUUGUGACUGGCGAGCUAGAGUAUGGCAGAGGGGGGUAGAAUUCCACGUGUAGCAGUGAAAUGCGUAGAGAUGUGGAGGAAUACCGAUGGCGAAGGCAGCCCCCUUGGCCAAUACUGACGCUCAUGCACGAAAGCGUGGGGAGCAAACAGGAUUAGAUACCCGGGUAGUCCCUGUCUCUUAUAC
Molecule: ribosomal RNA, 301 nt
Filed under: uncultured bacterium
Lineage: Bacteria
Description: partial 16S ribosomal RNA
Rfam family: Bacterial small subunit ribosomal RNA
Source: RNAcentral